RNAcentral lists this unclassified non-coding RNA (304 nucleotides) under Hevea brasiliensis (rubber tree). The record is from RNAcentral. Lineage: Eukaryota; Viridiplantae; Streptophyta; Magnoliopsida; Malpighiales; Euphorbiaceae.
CAGUUUGUACCAGAACAGGUGUAAAAUGGAGGACAUACUUUUGGAAAUGGACCGUAUUCUACGUCCUGAAGGAAUGGUCAUACUCCGCGAUACUGUUGACGUUAUGAACAAACUGGCAAAAGCGGUGAGGGGCAUGCGGUGGAAUGCCAGAAUGCUGGAUCACGAGGAUGGUCCUCUUGUCCCUGAGAAGAUUUUGAUCGCUGUCAAAACUUAUUGGGUCGAUGCUGGAAAUAAUUCUACGCUUAGUGAAUGAACAUAAUAUUUUGGAGCAGCAGGAAGGCAAUGGCAGCACUUUAGAACUCAG